This is a long non-coding RNA of Manihot esculenta (cassava), 1811 nucleotides long. RefSeq lists it as uncharacterized. The transcript is spliced from 3 exons. The record is from RefSeq and is a predicted model, not a curated record. NCBI's taxonomy places the organism in Eukaryota, Viridiplantae, Streptophyta, Magnoliopsida, Malpighiales, Euphorbiaceae.
CUUUUUCAUUCCACUUUUUUUUUUAGACUAAAAAAUGCUAAAAAUUAAAAUAUUUUAUUACUCAUGAACCACUUCUCUCUGUCUCUCCCAUCUGAUUGGCUUCCUCUGUGAAUGGUGGCCAGGUCGGCGCCGUUUCAUUCUUUCCCGGCAGCGAGAAUCCUCUCUGUUUCCUAGAAACGGAGGUGUUUGCCAUUCAACAGAAUUUCGAUUCACUGAUUAAGACAAUAAAAAACGGGUCGCUUAGAUCUUGAAAUUCCCCUGCCAUGUUCGUCCACCUACUAAAAAGAGAUGCAAUUUCGAGGCGGAGCAAGAGGAGGACAGGUGAUUUGGUUUGGGUUUUGCUACAAGUUAAUCAAUUUUUCGGAGAUCUGGAUAUCGUCUGUGCAGUCAACGUGCUGCCAGCUUAAUUCGUGUUGCAGUUAUAUCGUAAGUGAGCAAAAUUUAUUUCUACGGCCAGUGAUUCACGAGGCAACGCCAUGAGAGGUUACGGUUUAGUUGUUUAUCUCCUUGGCUUACUUCAGGUAUGCUCUGGGCAAUUUACUGGGAUAGUUGGAGCAUGUAGAAGGAACUAUGGAUAAUAAGAAGCUUCAUCCAUCUGUUAGUUACCAGGUAUCAUUCAAUCCCCAAGUUGUUCGGCAAUCAAGAGAUGAUACUUUUGGCAAUUAUCUAGCUUUGUACAUAAAGUCCCCAAGGACUACCAUCCAAAGAAUUGAUAAGGAAAUCUAGUAGAUUUGGCGAAGUAGACUCAUGUAGAAUCACAUCUAAAUGAGAGUGGGUCUGCCUGGUGACAGCAGCUUGAUGCAGCGGCUGCUUAUCAGUGUGCAAAGAGGAAGAGAAGGGAAGUUUGGUGAAGCAAAUAUCUUGUUUUGGCGUGAACUAUAUGAAAAAAAGAGAAGACAAUCGAAGUUUGUUGUCCCCAGGUGAAACCUAAAAUCCUACCUCAAAAUCUGAUUUGCAUGGUCAAGAGGGAAGAAGUGCACCAAAAGGGUGAGGUUUUUAAUGGCAACUUAGAUUAGUCACUGCACAGGUAAUUAGGUUUCUGUUAUAUGUCUGCAGAAAAUUGUGCUUUGACUAUGGACUGAACUCGUUCAUGGAGUCCAAUUUAGUUAUGGAUAUAGUAUCACGUGUUACUAUAUCUACUGGAAGUUUUAUGAUCAACUGAAGUUGUAGAUGUAGCUUUUGAAACUCUGUUGUGUGUUCUGGCCUAGACCUGCCUAAUUGCUGGUUUUGGUCCGGUGCCAGGUUGCAACUGCUAGAUAAUUGUAUAGAAUAUUAAUGCCGUACGCUGUUGAGUUGCCUGAUGCUGAGGAUGAAAAACUCAAGGUUGGACCUUAAGAAAAAUUCAGCUUUUCUGCUAUGAAAGAUGGUGUUCCUUGAGUUUGACACAUGAUAAAAGGUGGGAAUUAAUUGGCUUCAUUAACUACAAGCCCAUUCCUCAUGUAAUUUUAACAGAUGGAGGUUUUUAGGAUUUUGAUGACAUGGAUUUCUUAGCAAGUACGUAGCUCUAAUAGUAGUAAAUUCUCCUCGGCUAUUAAUUCACCUUUCUUUUCGUCUGAAACAUUGCCUGUGGUUGCUUCUUACGUAUGCUUUUGGCACUGGAAUCAGCUGAAAUAUUGGGCCUCUUUCUCUUUACUAAUCAGCACCACCCUGUUUAGGUGCCCCCCACAAUCAUUUUUUCUGUAAACUCUUCCAUAUUUUAGGUCUUUAACCUUGUUGCUUACUUCUGAUAAAAUUAACAUUUCUAGUCUUUUGAGAUUCAGACACUUUAUUCAAUUUUGCAAUACAUGAGAUCUAUUUGUAUAGAGAUAUUA